This 498-nucleotide ribosomal RNA is filed under the name uncultured bacterium. RNAcentral's name for it is "partial 16S ribosomal RNA". It matches the Rfam family "Bacterial small subunit ribosomal RNA", at positions 29 to 523 of the family's 1533-position model. The record is from RNAcentral.
AUUGAACGCUGGCGGCAUGCUUUACACAUGCAAGUCGAACGGUAACAGGCCGCAAGGUGCUGACGAGUGGCGAACGGGUGAGUAACGCAUCGGAACGUGCCCAGUCGUGGGGGAUAACGCAGCGAAAGCUGCGCUAAUACCGCAUACGAUCUAUGGAUGAAAGCGGGGGACCGUAAGGCCUCGCGCGAUUGGAGCGGCCGAUGUCAGAUUAGGUAGUUGGUGGGGUAAAGGCUCACCAAGCCAACGAUCUGUAGCUGGUCUGAGAGGACGACCAGCCACCCUGGGACUGAGACACGGCCCAGACUCCUACGGGAGGCAGCAGUGGGGAAUUUUGGACAAUGGGCGCAAGCCUGAUCCAGCAAUGCCGCGUGCAGGAAGAAGGCCUUCGGGUUGUAAACUGCUUUUGUACGGAACGAAACGGUCCGGGUUAAUACCCUGGGCUAAUGACGGUACCGUAAGAAUAAGCACCGGCUAACUACGUGCCAGCCGCCGCCGUAA